RNAcentral lists this ribosomal RNA (499 nucleotides) under uncultured bacterium. RNAcentral describes it as "partial 16S ribosomal RNA". It matches the Rfam family "Bacterial small subunit ribosomal RNA", at positions 28 to 507 of the family's 1533-position model. The record is from RNAcentral.
GACGAACGCUGGCGGCGUGCUUAACACAUGCAAGUCGAACGGGCCCGCUCUCUUUUUUGGGGGUGGGUUGAGUGGCGAACGGGUGAGUAUCACGUGAGUAACCUGCCCCCUGCUCCUGGAUAACUGCUUGAAAGGGCGGCUAAUACGGGGUGUGCCGGCUGGUCCGCAUGGGCCUGGUCGGGAUAGAUUCAUCAUCGGGUGUUUCGGUGGGGGAUGGGCUCGCGGCCUAUCAGCUUGUUGGUGGGGUGAUGGCCCACCAAGGCGGUGACGGGUAGCCGGCCUGAGAGGGUGCGCGGCCUCGCUGGGACUGGGCCACGGCCCAGACUCCUGCGGGCGGCAGCAGUGGGGGGUAUUACAAGGUGGGCGGAAGCCUGAUGCGGCGACGUCGCGUGAGGGAUGGGGGCCUUCGGGUUGUGAACCUCUUUCUCCGGUGGUGAAGGCCCUGUCCGUUGCGGCGGGGUUGACGGUAGCCGGGUAUGAAGCGCCGGCUAACUACGUG